This is a small nucleolar RNA of Arabidopsis thaliana (thale cress), 122 nucleotides long. The record is from RefSeq. Lineage: Eukaryota; Viridiplantae; Streptophyta; Magnoliopsida; Brassicales; Brassicaceae.
ACAUCCGUUGAUUUAGAAUUCUAACGGCUAUGAUACGUCGCAUUAACCCUAAAUAAUAGAUGCUCUAUAUAAACUUAUCUAAAUUUUCUAUUACUUCCACAGCUCAUCUAGGGUUUAUAGCU